RNAcentral lists this long non-coding RNA (3121 nucleotides) under Homo sapiens (human). Its description in RNAcentral is "HSALNT0371003". Lineage: Eukaryota; Metazoa; Chordata; Mammalia; Primates; Hominidae. The record is from RNAcentral.
UUUGUCUCAAAAAAAUACCAAAAACCAAAAACAACAAAAACAAAAAACAUCAAAAGACUAUGAGAAACAGUGAUUGGAUGUUUGGGGUGUGGAUAUCGGAAUCUGGAGCUGGGGACAGGUGUGUCAUUUGAUAGUCCCUUUUGAGAACCACUGUUGAUCUAAAGCUAUUCCAGUUCCCUAGGGGAUUGCUAAUAACCGGUGCAGCUGCUGAGACAGGGAAAGGGGCCUAAUUCCUUUUGCAAAACAAGGAGCAAUAUUUAUAUGAGAACUCAGUACAUUUCAUCACAUAAAAAUUGCAAAACGCCAGGCUCUGUCAUUUUUAAACUAAUAUUUUUGGGAGUCCACCAAACAGUCUCUAAGAUGGAACUGAUUGUGAAUAUGCUGGUGCCAGGUGCAAUGGCUCACACCUGUAAUCCCAGCUACUUGGGAGGCUGAGGUGGGAGGAUCACCUGAAGCCAGGAGUUCGAGGCCAGCCUGGGCCUCUCUAAAAAAAAAAAAGCUGUAAGUCAAAUGAUAUAGCCUCUAGAAGCCACAGUUUGCUCAUUUACAAACUGGAGGAGAAUAAGAUGAGAAUUGUCUGAUAUUGAGGAUCAGAAAGUGCUUCAUGAUGCAUAAAGCAGGUAAUGGAUUAUCAAUGCUUUGCUGCUCAGACACACAGCAAUGGGUUCAUACCAUUCUGAGAGUCUAAAUUUAGGACGUGGUGUGACCAAAAUUACCAGUAAUUAAGUUUCUUAUGUUUCUGAGGCUCUGCUUCCUCAUCUGUACACUGUGGCAAGACCUUGUUCUGACUAUGCACUGAGGAUAAAAUAAGGCCUUUUGAAAAAGAUGAUGACACUGACCACUAAUUAAUGAUUUCAAUGUUCCCGUCCAAGGUCAGGCAAAAGCAAUGCAGAGCCAUAGAGAAUGUUGGUGCAACACUGCCCUCUGCUGGUCAGUAGCAGCACCACCAUGGUUACAGAGAGGAAAAGGUCUUUACAAAGGGAUUCCUGGGAAACUGAGGCAGAGAGUGGAAGGGAUUUGCUCAAGGGCACAGAGUUAGCUUUGGACAAAGUGAUGGCUCGAAUCUGAGAUUCCUAAUUCCUAGUUCUUUCUAGAGGGAGAAAAAUAAGGGCUGGAAACUAGUGGAUUGUCGUUUCACUCUCACUAGGCUCUGCACGGCAUUUUAAAUAGGCUGAUUGGAAUUUCUCUCUCCUGUUCUUCCCUUGCCACCCAAACUGCUCGGGUUUCUUGUCCUUUUCUUCAUACCAGGAUAACCAUCUGUGUGGCCCCAUAAGGCCCAAAGUCCUCUUGGGUGCUGCCGGAGGUCCAACAACCAGUAAAGCACGGAAGCUGGGAUCUGAACACUCACUUGAGACCCCAAGGCCCACAAUCUAUUUGCCACCAAAAAACAAGACAAAGCAAAACACCAUGACAGGAAAACCGAGUUGCAGACAAAUGAAAGUGACUUACCUCAGGGCCUUUGCAUGUGACAUCCUCUCUGCCUGGAAUGCUCUUCUCAGAUAUCACCUUGGCAUCCCCCAUCACCUUCUUAAGGUCUUCACUUAAAAGUCAUCAUCUGGCCGGGCGCGGUGGCUCACCCUGUAAUCUCAGCACUUUGGGUAGGCCAAGGACUGGAUCCUGGACCUGCCCCUGGGACUUGCGGAAGGGGACAGCUCAAUCUGAGCCAUAUCAACUGAGAACACAGGAAGCAUGGUCCUACCAAGAGAUGUCUAUUCCAGGUAUGGUGGAGCCUCAGAGGACAGCAUGACUCUCGUUCAGCUGGUGGAUCAGGGAAUGGUCCAAUAAGCCACAGCUGUGGAUAUGAAGGUCUGUUGAUUUCAGAUUGAGCUAUAGGGGGAUACUGGGCAUGGCAGAAAAAUCUAUCAAUCUCUGCUAUAGUUAAAUAUUUGAAUAUUGGAUUGUUUGCAGAUCUUGUGAAAUCAGUGACCUCUGGGUCAUGUAGAAACCCAGCACAUUCCCACAGGACACAGCCUAGCAGUUGAUCAGAGCAGUAGUUCAUACCUGAGACCCUGGAUUUUCAGACCCUCCCCCAGGCCCCACCAGCCUCUGUCAGUGCCAAGCUGGACGGAACAAACCACAUGAGGUUGGUCAGGCCUCUACCCCAUGGAAAAACACAGAAUGGUGAUUUUUUGCCUGUACAUUCCUGGACAAAUAAAUUCUCUUUUGGGAGCUUUUUCCUGGCUGGGCUAUGUUAUAUGCCUCAGAGCUGCCCAGAUCCCCUGGAAACCCAAAGAUUUCCUUCCAUGUGUAGGACUCAUUCAGCCCCAGCUCAGAGGACUGUUUCAUGGGUACUGGUGGCAGGAAUUCUUGGUUGUCUUCAAUGUCUGGCUCCCUGAUUUUCGGUAGGGAACAUGGUCAGCAGAAUGAGGAUGGCAUUUCCUACCUUCUACUGCAGGUGGGCAGAACCAAGGUGCCCUCCCUACACCUUCCUGGGGCCUCCAGCGAUCCUGAGCUCAGCCUCCUGACCUGCAGACCCCUCAGCUCUGGCCCUCACGUCCUGCUUGCUGUACCUGCUUUAUCCCAUAUCACCAUCUCCAUUCCUCAGCAUAGUGACAAUCCCAGUUCCUACCCAUUCCACUGGCUUCUCCAUUUGGCUUGGAGCUCUUUAGCUGGAUUGAGACGACUACUCUGAUGAGUGCCAUGUCACUGGCUCAACAAAAUGGGCCCAAGUGAGUCAAUGUCAUUGACAUGAAGGUGCUGUCAGUUUGGUGGGAACCAAGGGAAUGAGACUGUGUUUUAGCUGCGUUCGUUUGAACAGUUACACACUUAGGGCUUCUUAUGCGGAUGCUCAGAGAGAAAUAUGGAAGACGAGAUCUCGUAGAAAACAAGAAGACAUGUUGUAAAUGAGUCAGGCCUCCUGGAGUCCAGGACUAGGGAGGAACUCUUUAUUGAGGAUCACUCGAGGGAGUCUUGGGGCUGGUGGUCUUCACGCCACAGCCCCAUAACUCAGCUCCUCUCUUCCUUCUCUCAGUCUCUCUGCUUCUGUUUUUUGUCUCAUGUCCUAAAUGUCCAACUAUUCAGCAUAACUUUAUUCUGCUUCCCCUCUCUAUCCUCUGUAGCAAAAUGCACUGUUGGAAUUACAUUUUUAUUUUUAUUUUUAUUUUUAUUUUUUUAAGACGGA